Non-coding RNA from Massariosphaeria phaeospora, 85 nucleotides. The record is from the annotation of a GenBank genome assembly. Lineage: Eukaryota; Fungi; Ascomycota; Dothideomycetes; Pleosporales.
UCCGAUGUUGUCUAGUGGUUAGGAUAUGCCGCUCUCAAAAAUGUGCAGUGCCGGCAAGGCCGGGGUUCAAUUCCCCGCAUCGGAA